CCUUUUGAGGGUGGACUUGUGGGAUUCGAAGUGCCUUUGUUUUUCACAACCUGCUUUUUUUGGGUGUACUUUCUCGUAUUGUAGGUCAACAUCGGUUUCGAUCGUUAUAAAAUGACUGGAGGAAUGUAGCUUCGAUCUCGUAUUGAAGUGUUAUAGCCUUUGGUAAAUGUAACGGAUGGGGUCGAGGAUUGCAAUGAAUACCCUCAUGGGCUAUUCGUCUGGCCUCUGACAUGUCACUCUGGUGCCGAAAGCUUGCUUAUGGUAUUAUAGUGUACGGUCAAAAGGUUAGAACGGAUUAAAUUCGUUAAGGAUGUUGACGUAA
RNAcentral lists this ribosomal RNA (322 nucleotides) under uncultured fungus. Its description in RNAcentral is "eukaryotic LSU rRNA". Lineage: Eukaryota; Fungi. The record is from RNAcentral.